RNAcentral lists this ribosomal RNA (1203 nucleotides) under Bacillus zhangzhouensis. RNAcentral describes it as "bacterial SSU rRNA". It matches the Rfam family "Bacterial small subunit ribosomal RNA", at positions 44 to 1233 of the family's 1533-position model. Lineage: Bacteria; Bacillati; Bacillota; Bacilli; Caryophanales; Bacillaceae. The record is from RNAcentral.
AUGCUAUACAUGCAGUCGAGCGGACAGAAGGGAGCUUGCUCCCGGAUGUUAGCGGCGGACGGGUGAGUAACACGUGGGUAACCUGCCUGUAAGACUGGGAUAACUCCGGGAAACCGGAGCUAAUACCGGAUAGUUCCUUGAACCGCAUGGUUCAAGGAUGAAAGACGGUUUCGGCUGUCACUUACAGAUGGACCCGCGGCGCAUUAGCUAGUUGGUGGGGUAAUGGCUCACCAAGGCGACGAUGCGUAGCCGACCUGAGAGGGUGAUCGGCCACACUGGGACUGAGACACGGCCCAGACUCCUACGGGAGGCAGCAGUAGGGAAUCUUCCGCAAUGGACGAAAGUCUGACGGAGCAACGCCGCGUGAGUGAUGAAGGUUUUCGGAUCGUAAAGCUCUGUUGUUAGGGAAGAACAAGUGCGAGAGUAACUGCUCGCACCUUGACGGUACCUAACCAGAAAGCCACGGCUAACUACGUGCCAGCAGCCGCGGUAAUACGUAGGUGGCAAGCGUUGUCCGGAAUUAUUGGGCGUAAAGGGCUCGCAGGCGGUUUCUUAAGUCUGAUGUGAAAGCCCCCGGCUCAACCGGGGAGGGUCAUUGGAAACUGGGAAACUUGAGUGCAGAAGAGGAGAGUGGAAUUCCACGUGUAGCGGUGAAAUGCGUAGAGAUGUGGAGGAACACCAGUGGCGAAGGCGACUCUCUGGUCUGUAACUGACGCUGAGGAGCGAAAGCGUGGGGAGCGAACAGGAUUAGAUACCCUGGUAGUCCACGCCGUAAACGAUGAGUGCUAAGUGUUAGGGGGUUUCCGCCCCUUAGUGCUGCAGCUAACGCAUUAAGCACUCCGCCUGGGGAGUACGGUCGCAAGACUGAAACUCAAAGGAAUUGACGGGGGCCCGCACAAGCGGUGGAGCAUGUGGUUUAAUUCGAAGCAACGCGAAGAACCUUACCAGGUCUUGACAUCCUCUGACAACCCUAGAGAUAGGGCUUUCCCUUCGGGGACAGAGUGACAGGUGGUGCAUGGUUGUCGUCAGCUCGUGUCGUGAGAUGUUGGGUUAAGUCCCGCAACGAGCGCAACCCUUGAUCUUAGUUGCCAGCAUUUAGUUGGGCACUCUAAGGUGACUGCCGGUGACAAACCGGAAGAAAGGUGGGGAUGACGUCAAAUCAUCAUGCCCCUUAUGACCUGGGCUACACACGUGCUACAAUGG